This 497-nucleotide ribosomal RNA is filed under the name uncultured bacterium. Its description in RNAcentral is "partial 16S ribosomal RNA". It matches the Rfam family "Bacterial small subunit ribosomal RNA", at positions 28 to 507 of the family's 1533-position model. The record is from RNAcentral.
GAUGAACGCUGGCGGCGUGCCUAAUACAUGCAAGUCGAGCGAACGGACGAGAAGCUUGCUUCUCUGAUGUUAGCGGCGGACGGGUGAGUAACACGUGGAUAACCUACCUAUAAGACUGGGAUAACUUCGGGAAACCGUAGCUAAUACCGGAUAAUAUUUUGAACCGCAUGGUUCAAAGGUGAAAGACGGUCUUGCUGUCACUUAUAGGUGGAUCCGCGCUGCAUUAGCUAGUUGGUAAGGUAACGGCUUACCAAGGCAACGAUGCAUAGCCGACCUGAGAGGGUGAUCGGCCACACUGGAACUGAGACACGGUCCAGACUCCUACGGGAGGCAGCAGUAGGGAAUCUUCCGCAAUGGGCGAAAGCCUGACGGAGCAACGCCGCGUGAGUGAUGAAGGUCUUCGGAUCGUAAAACUCUGUUAUUAGGGAAGAACAUAUGUGUAAGUAACUGUGCACAUCUUGACGGUACCUAAUCAGAAAGCCACGGCUAACUACGUG